Cicer arietinum (chickpea) is the source of this 106-nucleotide small nucleolar RNA. NCBI's taxonomy places the organism in Eukaryota, Viridiplantae, Streptophyta, Magnoliopsida, Fabales, Fabaceae. The record is from RefSeq and is a predicted model, not a curated record.
AUCCCAUGAUGAAGGCACAAUGUCAACAUCUCUUUGAAGCGCACCCAAGCUUCAAAGAGCAAUUCUCCUUCCUUUUGAGAAAAACUUGUGAUUUGAUUUCUCAAUU